This 53-nucleotide transfer RNA is filed under the name Porcellionides pruinosus. RNAcentral's name for it is "tRNA-Lys". Lineage: Eukaryota; Metazoa; Arthropoda; Malacostraca; Isopoda; Porcellionidae. The record is from RNAcentral.
UCAGGGUUGGCUGAAGAGAUAGGCGAGGGGUUUUUAAUCUCUUUAUAAGUUAG